Molecule: long non-coding RNA, 998 nt
Organism: Brassica napus (rape)
Lineage: Eukaryota; Viridiplantae; Streptophyta; Magnoliopsida; Brassicales; Brassicaceae
Exons: 2
Source: RefSeq, a predicted model, not a curated record
ACCUUUAAACUAAUUUCAUAUUACAGUUUAAAAAUUUUGGACUUGGACUAAUGGUUAUAUACGAACCACACGAUCUUCUUUUGGAUCUAAAGUUAGUGAUCCACUAACUGUUUUCUGAUUGGUAAAUGUAGGGUGACAAAGAUCACUACUUUCAGCCUUUGAUAAAUAUUGAUCCAACGGCCACAAUUAAUUAAUUAAUUUUGCUAAUUUAUUUCUGCCUCAGAUUUUUUGUUCUUUCCUUUCUAUUUUGUUCUUCUUCCCUACGCCAUCAACAUAUCUCUUUUUCUUUUCUGUAUCUGUGCACAUCUUUCUUUCUUAUUCUCUAAACCACCACCACCACCGUCUCUUCUUAUUCCUCUUGUUCAAAUGGCGGUGGACUCCAAAGAAGGAAGGAUGAGAAGACAACAUGGUCGAGAUCUGGAAAUCCAAGUGUAGGAGAGCUUUCUCAAGAAGUGUCGCGCAGGUCUUCAAUCUACACAGAAACUUUAAUAUGUUGCUUCUCCAUUGCUCAUCGAUCCAGAAACAGUUGGAGAGCUUGCUGUCUAUAGUUGGUGGAGUAUGGUCAGUGAAUAGAAAAUCUUGAAGCUUGAGACAACGGUGCGCGGAGAGGAUAGAUAAGCCAGAGACGAACUUGACGGUGUUGUAGGGGAUGAGCUUGGCAGUGGUGAGCCGAAGACGAGCUCGACGACAGUGAGUGGGAAGAGCCAGGGUGAUUCCGUCGUCGUCUCCGACGAAGAGAGACGCGAGGGCUUUGUUGUCACAGCGAAUGGUGGUUGACGGCGGAGUUAAGAAGCUUCAAAGCGGCAUGGUUUUAUUAUUAGGUUUAGUUAGCAAAUAGGUUUAGGUCUAAGCUUGGUUUAGUUUUGGUUUAUUUUUUUAUAUGUAAACCGUUUUUAGUUUAUGAAAAAUUCAAUUUAAAAUAUUUAAAAUAUUUUUUUUAUUUUUUUUUUAAUUUUUCAAUAAUGUAAUAAUAACAAUAAAAGCACGCUAUUAAAGAA